GAUGAACGCUGGCGGCGUGCCUAAUACAUGCAAGUCGAACGCGCAGCGAGAGGUGCUUGCACCUUUCAAGCGAGUGGCGAACGGGUGAGUAACACGUGGAUAACCUGCCUCAAGGCUGGGGAUAACAUUUGGAAACAGAUGCUAAUACCGAAUAAAACUUAGUAUCGCAUGAUAUCAAGUUAAAAGGCGCUACGGCGUCACCUAGAGAUGGAUCCGCGGUGCAUUAGUUAGUUGGUGGGGUAAAGGCUUACCAAGACGAUGAUGCAUAGCCGAGUUGAGAGGCUGAUCGACCCAAUUGGGACUGAGGCACGGCCCAAACUCCUACGGGAGGCUGCAGUAGGGAAUCUUCCACAAUGGGCGCAAGCCUGAUGGAGCAACGCCGCGUGUGUGAUGAAGGCUUUCGGGUCGUAAAGCACUGUCGUAUGGGAAGAAAUGCUAAAAUAGGGAAUGAUUUUAGUUUGACGGUACCAUACCAGAAAGGGACGGCUAAAUACGUGCCAGCAGCCGCCGUAA
This 513-nucleotide ribosomal RNA is filed under the name uncultured bacterium. Its description in RNAcentral is "partial 16S ribosomal RNA". It matches the Rfam family "Bacterial small subunit ribosomal RNA", at positions 28 to 523 of the family's 1533-position model. The record is from RNAcentral.